Molecule: long non-coding RNA, 2954 nt
Organism: Gadus macrocephalus (Pacific cod)
Lineage: Eukaryota; Metazoa; Chordata; Actinopteri; Gadiformes; Gadidae
Exons: 5
Source: RefSeq, a predicted model, not a curated record
AUUGGCCAACCUUCAGUCCCUUAGAGGAAGUUACUAUCGAGAGCAGCAAAAAUAGAGAUUAGCAACCACGCAGGGGGUUGCAAACACCGCCAUAGCCUUCGACCAGUCAGUGUGUACGACUACUCUUGUCUGCCGAUACGUUCUAGUGUUUGGUACAGUUGACCCCUCCCCCCCCAACCAAAUCUGACACCCCUUCCUGCCAGUACAGGUUAAGUGUGUCGGCUGGUGGGGAGACUCUUGAUGGUGUAGACAUGGAAGAAGAAACAAUCGUGGAAGAGGAAGGAUCGACCAAAAAGUCAGAAACACUAAAGGUAGCUUUUAAUUCGCCUCCCAAGCGCUACAGCGAGAUCUUCAGGGAAUUUGAUAGCCUCGACCUCAGCCUGGCUAUUUCUUCAGAGGAGCUGGAACCUGACUCCCAAUCCAUCCCCGAAUCCAUCUCUACAGAAAGAAGCGAAUCCAUGGAGCAGGACAGCGUGUCUCCUUGUGAAGAUACAUGUCCCAUAGAGAUCUGCGUUGAUCCCACAGAUAUCGAGAACCAAUCAGGUAUAGUAGCAGUAUGUAGAGUUUGUGUGUCUGUGUGUGCAGACGUGCGUGCGUGCAUACAUAUGCUUAUGUUUACCUGUACAUGGGCAUAAAAUCUACACAAAUUAAACCUAUGUCGUUAUGUACGCACCUGAAGGGACAAUAAAGCUCCACUAAUCGAGUUUGAACCGUGCAAAUGAAACUCCAUUAUGGCCCAGUAAGCCCGGGUGUGUGAUGCUUAUGGUUUAACGUGUAUCACUGCAGACAGCCGCGCUGUCAUUGAUGAGAGACAAACGCGUGUGUCUCUCUCUCCCUCAUUUCAUCAAUGACAGCGCUAGUAGUGUGUCUGUCGUCCCCCAGGGCUGGGUUGUAUUCACAUCGUUAGUGGCGUGGACUAAUUGCUCUGUUCUAACAAGAUUAGAGCAGGAGAGGAUAAAAGACUGGGAUUAAAAAACGACAGCUGCUGCUCCCUCCGCUUUUUUUUCCGUCUUUUCUCUCUGGUCAAAAGACGGGUGGUUUGGGAGUUUUUGUCUGUGGAAGUGUGUGUGGAAUUCUGUGUGUGGAAGUGUGUGUGUGUGUGUGGAAGUGUGUGUGUGUGUGUGUGUGUGUGUGUGUGUGUGUGUGUGUGUGUGUGUGUGUGUGUGUGUGUGUGUGUGUGUGUGUGUGUGUGUGUGUGCGUGUGUGUGUGUGUGUGUGUGUGUGUGUGUGUGUGUGUGUGUGUGUGUGUGUGUGUGUGUGGAAUUCUGUGUGUGGAAGUGUGUGUGUGUGUGUGUGUGUGUGUGUGUGUGUGUGUGUGUGUGUGUGUGUGUGUGUGUGUGUGUGUGUGUGUGUGUGUGUGUGUGUGUGUGUGUUUGUGUGUGUGUGUGCGUCUGUGUGUGUGUGUGUGUGUGUGUGUGUGUGUGUGUGUGUGUGUGUGUGUGUGUGUGUGUGUGUGUGUGUGUGUGUGUGUGUGUGUGUGUUUGUCUGGUUGUGUGCAUGUGUGCAUGUGUGUGUGUGUGUGUGUCUGAAGGUGGAGAAAUCAGAGAGGGGAGAUGAAAGAGUGAAUCCAGUGGGGAGUUCUGUGUAGAAUACGUCAGAUAUUGUUGGACCAAAAAGCCUGACUUUGCCUUUUGCCUUUUCCUGUUAGUCGGCAGGCAGUUCCGAUGCCGUGACCCUUAAUAGUCUUUCAUUUGCUGUGGAGGAACAAGAGUAAGAGAAACAGAUCAGUCACACGGAAAUGCAGCACGAUGUUGUAACAACGCUACUUCCAGCAGGCAGUGAAACAUAUACACUCACAACAUUGCUGCCCCCAUCCACAUAGCUUCCUGCUGGGAAACCCAGCUCAGUUGAGCCUCUGUUGCAUGUCAUGAUUCAAAGGGGGUGGGAGGUGCCACAGGGUCAAUAUGCUGCUAUUGGCUGCCAGGCAAGGAGAUCUCUCACCGAGGGUCAGUGUCUCACACACACGUGGUUCAUCUGUUUCUCUGACUCCUAACAUCAACUGACAGCUUUCACAGCCUGCGACACCCACGCACAUGCACGCACACACACACACACACACGCACACACGCACAAGCACACACACGCACACACACACACACACGCACUCACACACACACACACAAGCACACACACGCACACACACACACACACACACACACACACACACACACACAAGCACACACACGCACACACACACACACACACACACACACACUCAGCGUUUGAUCUGUGCUCCAAGUGAUGGAUGGAAAACAAGCUCUCUCCCCUCCUAGUGAUUGACGCCUCACCCGCAACACCGCUGUUACUGGGCUAUAAGCAGCCAUUUUGUCACACACCACAGGAGGUAAAGCCUAGACAGCCCACAAAUCUGGACCUGCACUGGGCUAAUCCCGGAUCCCCAGACCCAUGAGGCUUCUUUGGGACGGGGCAGAAAGCUCUGGGAGGCUGCCUAUUGGGAAUGACGGCCUUGAAUUAAGGUUGAUCUGGAGAUGCACUGGGACCUGAAAGCCAACCUACCGCACAAUCUGGACAUAAAUGGAUUUAUUCCGGAAACUGGACUUUUGUUAGUUGUUGCUUUUCGAUACAAAUAGGAACUUUGAAGUGAGUUGUAUGCUGUGUUCUAAAAGAUAGGGAUCUAAGAAAGAACGGGGACCAAUCACGACCUCGCCUCGUUCGGUAUAGCUACGUAAAGAUGUGGCUUGAUCGCUUGGGAUGGUGAGGCUGAAGCUCAUUAUACUUAAACCUUCUUAUAAAAGAACGGAGAUACACCAAGGCUUUGCUUCAAAACAAACAUUCCUUGUUUUGAUCCCUGUCGGUAUACCCAGACGCAUGAGAGACAGAAAGAGAUUGGGAAGGGAAGGAAAGACGAAGACCGAGAGGGUUGUCCCCCAACCUAGUGUACCCCACCCACUCUGGGUCUCUGAGGACGAAGGGGGUGGGGGUGGGUGGUGCGC